Long non-coding RNA from Artibeus jamaicensis (Jamaican fruit-eating bat), 1066 nucleotides. RefSeq lists it as uncharacterized. The record is from RefSeq and is a predicted model, not a curated record. Lineage: Eukaryota; Metazoa; Chordata; Mammalia; Chiroptera; Phyllostomidae. The transcript is spliced from 5 exons.
UGUGAAAGACCACCUCUCCUAGGAUGCACUGCGGUGCGUCCAGCUUCACUUCCUUCUUAGGCGGAGGGGAGGAUACUGGGAAGCUUGUUUGGUAAAAGGAGAGUUAAAGGGGAUGGUGAUCGGAAAUAGAGGUUUGGAGUUCAUGACUUCUCUAGAAGGAGGGGAGGGAGAUGAAAGGCUCCGUCCCGGUGAAGAAGAAUUUCUAGUAUGGUGCUUCUCAACUUCCUGGAUGGCUUUUAGCAAACCUGACGAUAAAACUGAUGCACAGUGGGGUUAAGUAACUUGCUCAGUGUUUCACUGCUGAGGCAUUCCUUGUUUUCUUGCAUUUCGUUUUAUUGUGUUUCCCAGAUACUGCAUUUUUACAAAUUGAAGGUUUGUGGCAACCCUGCAUCAGAGUGAAUUUCUGGCUCCAUUCUCUAACAGCAUUUGCUCACUUUGUGUCUCUGUGUCCAUUCCUGGUGAAGAUGCUGUGAAGAUUGUUGAAAUGACAAACAAAGGAUUUGUAAUAUUGCAUAACUUUGUUGAUAAAGCAGCAGCAUUAUUUGAGAGGACUGACUCCAGUUUUGAAAGAGGUUUUCCUGUGGGUAAAGUGCUACCAAACAGCAUUGCAUGCUACAGAGAAAUCAUCUAUGAAAGGAGGAGUCAGUGCAGCAUAUUUCACUGUUGUCUUUUAAGAAAUUUCCACAACCACUCCAACGUUCAACAUUGAUCAGUCAGCAGCCAUCAACUUUGAGGCAAGACCCUCCACCAGCAACAAGAAUCUAACUCACUGAAGGCUCAGAUAAUGCUUAGCAUUUUUUAGCAAUAAAGUAUUUUUAAAUUAAGGUUCAGAACCUUUCAGAUCAACUUACCUGUAAGUUCAGUACGUGAAAUAGAUAAACGCAGUUGAAAUCGGUCAAGAUAAGAGUUACCUCAACCUGCCAGCAUCCCCUGCCCUCAUUCCUGGUCUCUGCACAGAGAAGCUCCAGGGGGUACUUUGGAAGCCAUUGGAAGAAAAUCAUUCCCUCAUAAAUGACUUGAAAUGCCACAUCUGUAAUAUGCUACAUUAAAAUGUUUAUUCCAAUUA